Molecule: long non-coding RNA, 5793 nt
Filed under: Homo sapiens (human)
Lineage: Eukaryota; Metazoa; Chordata; Mammalia; Primates; Hominidae
Description: non-protein coding lnc-NPBWR1-7:1
Source: RNAcentral
GGCCCCGCCUCCGGCUCUCCGGCCGGCAGGUUGGCUGUCCUGGCCUGACCCUGGGAGACUCCGCUGGGGCCGCCUGUUAUGGUGCUAGCUGCCGUCCCGGUGCGUACUUUCCCAAGGUGAAUUUGACCUUCUUUGCGACAGCUAGGCCCUGACUAAGGUCGACCCACCAAACACUGGAUCGUCCCCAGGCGAAAGAGAGCUUGUUCCCCUCAGCCUGUCGCGGAGGAGCGGAGCCAAUCGAGGGUCUGGUGUCCCCGUCGCCUCUCCAGGGGCAACCUGCGGACUAGGCCAAGGUCUGUAACAGGAUAACGUACCAGCGCCUGGCCCAGGCGUUCCUGCCGCCACCUCCCCGCAUAUCCGGACCGCCGGGACUGCACGCAGCUGGCAAGCGUCCCCCUGUUAACUCUGCAAGGGUGGGGCGGCACCAUUUCUCAGACCAGGUAAGGCAAGAAAACAUGCAAGAGAGAAGAGAGGGAAGCCUAGGCCAAUCGGAAUGAAAAUGUAAACGCCACAACCACGUUUUCAGCUUUACAAAUACUGAAUCUUGUAGUGGGUCUAGUGGGUUAGGGGUUAGCAUGAGCACCCUAAUGGUUGGGAGACAGUUUCAGGGGACUCUUGCAUUUGUGAAGAUGAUCAGUCACAGGCAAUGACUUGAAGCCACGAGGCUUGAAUAUUAAAAUCUGAUGAGCAGAUGUUACACGUAGAAUAAUUACAUAAUAGUUCUCAAAUUCCUGUUAUAUCCAGGAAUAUCUGGUAUGAGUGAAAACUUGGAGGUGCCUUCUCUAAAGUCAUCAGGAAUUCUGAGUUGUGUUUGUAAAAAUAGGAGGCACAAGAGGGCACCAAACUGAACAAAAUGUUAGGUGGAAACUGAAAAACGUUGGUUAGCAUGAACAAUUUCAGUUUUCAGUCACACUGACCAGUAUCUGUAAGUUAGGAUUGAGAUGGGCUUGUUUUAUUUAUUUACUUUUAAAUUUGUGCUGCUACAUAUCCCAAACAAAUGUGGUCUUUAUCAUCACUGGCAAGCCAUUUUACUUAUUGGUUAAGCUGGAAUUUUAUUACACCACCCCAGCAAGAUAGAGGAGAAAAGCGAAAAUUAAGUAGUAAAUGGUUAUUAUGCCUUAAGGGAAGGUGUGAACUGGCAAGACAAAAGAGCCAAAUUUAGUAGUAAAGCAUAGUCAUCAGCACACAGAAAAUAAGUGGUGAGGAGGAGUUUGGCCAGAAAAUUGGCUAAGAAAAAUGGCAGUAUGACCAAGAAUGAAAAGAAAAAGAAAGAAAAGAAAAACUGCAGUAUGAGGCCUGUAAAGAACGUAUUGGUACUUGCACUUCCUCUUAUUAGUGACAUUCAUUAUUACAAAUAUAACCCAAUUUAGAAUGUAAAAAUCUUGCUGGAGCUCGGUGCAGUGGCUCACACCUGGAAUCCCAGCACUUAUGGGAGGCCGAGGCAGGAGGAUUGCUUGAGCCCAGGAGUUGGAGACCAGCCUGGGCAACGUAGUGAAACCCCUUCUCUACAAAAAAUACAAAAAUUAGCUGGGCGUGGUGAUGCACACCUGUGGUCCCAGUUACUCAGAAGGCUGAGGUGGGAGAAUCAGUUGAGCCCAGGAGGUCGAGGCUGCAGUGAACCAUCAUGGCACCACUGCACUCCUAGCCUGGACAACAGAUUGUUGCCCUGUCUGAAAAAUAAAAAAAAAUUUCUGAACUAUGCCAGUGAUAAUCUGGUAAAUUAUAAAUGUUGUCUGACUUUUUUCUUUGGAAAAUGAAUUAAUUCAGUCCUAACCUUCUCUCUUAAUCACAGGUUGCAAUAAAUUACCAGAAACGACUGGUUCAUACCUUAUACACCUCCAGUGUAAAUGUUAAGAGUUUGUAUAUUCUUAACAGACUCUUAACAAACAUCAGUAAUUCUUUCCUAGGGAUAAGUGAAAAUGUACUAACAUUAAUUCUAUUAUAUAUAUGCAAAUAUCUAGAGGAAAUACUGUUUAUAAGUUACUAAUACAUGUAUCCAUGGUAGUAGGUCUUGAAAAGUUACUUUUGUUGCCUAUUGGACACCCUCUAUUCUCCCUUCCUUAAUAAAACAAAAAAAAGAACAAACAAAAUUCUGUAGCAUCACUUCUCAACCAAGCUUUCUGAUAGGAAGUCCUCAGUCCAAUCUCAUUUUUGGCCUACUGUGCAUUUCUUACUUAACUUGCAAACAGAUCAUUAACAAGGACCUCCAAAUUACAGUAAAUUACAGUACUAAGAUUUUACUUGAACUUUCUAAAGCAUUCGCCAUUUUAAAUUAUUUAACUUUUAUACUCCUCCUUCCCUUUUGUGCUGUUUCCUUCCUGGCGCUCCUAAAUAUCUGUCCAUUCUUUGGACCUCUUCCAAAUUUUCAGAUAAUUAUAAUAGUGUGCGAAUGAUGCAAAGGUAAUGUGCCGUGGGAGAGAACAGAAGAGAGAAACCUAAUUCUGGCCUCAUCACAUUAUUGUUUUUUUAAAUUUAAUAACUAUUUUAGAUGCUUCAGUAGAUUUACAGUGAGGGCAAAAGAAAACAGUUUUCUUUAGGAGUAUGGAGGGAUUAUAUAGGAUGUACAAUAAAUACCCUAAGUACUUCAAAUCAGUUCAGAUCUUUAAAAUCCUAUUUUUCCUUCAGUUCUCAACUUCAAUAUCACCUACUCUGGGAGUCAUUCCCUACCAUGCUUGUUUGUUUGUUUGUUUGUUUGUUUGUUUGUUUUGAGACAGAGUCUCACUCUGUUGCCCAAGCUGGAGUGCAGUGACACCAUCUCUGCUCACCGCAGCCUCUACCUCCCAGGUUCAAACGAUUCUCUUGUCUCAGCCUCCCUAGUAACUGGGAUUACAGGCACUUGCCACCACUCCCGGCUACUUUUCAUACUUUUAUUAGAUGGGGUUUCACCGUGUUGGCCAGGCUGGUCUCGAACUCCUGAUCUCAAGUGAUCCACCCGCUUCAGCCUCCCCCACAGUGCUGGGAUUACAGGAGUGAGCCACAGCACCUGGCCACAUGCUUGUAAUUUCUUUAGAUUCUCACAUUGUAUCUUUCAGUGUCAUCUAACAUGCUGACUAUAAGCUCCUUUUUAAAAGAUGUACUGUACCUGGUAUAUAAUGGUAUGCACUCAACAAACAUUUGACAGUACCCCACAACUUGUUCAGGCCCUCAAUUUAUACCUGAAUUGACCUCCUAUCCAUCUCCAUUAUUUACUCCAUCCAAGACCAGUCUAAUCAAAUCUCUUCCCUGCCUAACAACUUUCAUUGGUUUUGUUUUGUAUACUAGAUACAAUUUAAACUUUUUUUUUUUUGAGAUGGAGUCUCUCUCUGUCACCCAGGCUGGAGUUCAGUGGCGCGAUCUUGGCUCACUGCAAGCUCCACCGCCUGGGUUCACACCAUUCACCUGCCUCAGCCUCCCAAGUAGCUGGGACUACAGGCGCCUACCACCACGCCCGGCUAAUUUUUUGUAUUUUUUGUAGAGACGGGGUUUCACCAUGUUAGGCAGGAUGGUCUCGAUCUCCUGACCUCGUGAUCCGCCCGUCUUGGCCUCCCAAAGUGCUGGGAUUACAGGCAUGAGCCACUGUGCCCGGCCCUGGGCAUGGGUAAACUUCUUAACCUAGCAUGAAAGUCUCUCCAUGAUAAGGUAUCAACCCAUCUCUCCAGUGUAUCUCCCAGCACUUUUCUCCCCUUUAUAUGUGCUCUAUAUGAGUUUCCUCAUCCAGGAAUGUUCUUCCCCACUUGUUCACCUUUAAAGUCAUCCCUUAAAACACAGCUUGGAUGUUAGCAGCUUCUAACUUCUAGAGUUUCCACUCUUCUAUUAAGCUUUGCUCUGUAUCUCACAACUGUAAAUUUUUCUCUCCCCUCUUAGUCUGUGAAACUCUUAAGAUUAAGAACUAUGCAUUAUUAAUUUUUAAAUUCCUGGAACUUUAUGGAGAGCUUGGCAGUCAGCAAUUAAUACAAGAUUUGCUGUAUGUAAUACAUUCUGCAAAUUUUUAUAUUUAUAUUGAUGGUUGACUAGAAAGUUACUGUGGAAAAUUCCUGCCAUCAAAUAUCUCAUAGGCUUGUAAAGGGGACCAUUCAAAACAAUUGCAGUAACAAAGGCAGGGUGCAGUGGCUCACGCCUGUAAUACCAGCUGAGGUGGGCAGAUUGCUUGAGCUCAGGAAUUUGAGACCAGCCUGGACAACAUGGUGAAACCCUGUCUCUAGUAAAAAUACAAAAAUUAGCCAGGCAUGGUGGCGCCCAACUGUAGUCCCAGAUACUCAGGAGACUAAUGUGGGAGAAUCAAUUGAACCUGGGGACGGAGGUUGCCAUGAGCCAAGAUCAUGCCACUGCACUCCAGCCUGGGAGACAGAAUGAGACUCCAUCUCAAAAAAGAAGAAUAAUAAUAAUUGCAGGCUGGGUGCAGUGGCUCACGCCUCAUGCCUGUAAUCCCAACACUUUGGGAGGCUGAGGCGGGUGGAUCACCUGAGGUCAGGAGUUCGAGACCAGCCUGACCAACAUGGAGAAACCCCGUCUCUACUAAAAAUACAACAUUAGCCAGUGGCGCAUGCCUGUAAUCCCAGAUACUCAGUAGGCUGAGACAGGAGAAUCACUUGAACCCAGGAGGCGGAGGUCGCAGUGAGCCGAGAUCGCACCAUUGCAUUCCAGCCUGGGCAACAAGAGCGAAACUCCGUCUCAAAAAAAGAAAAAAAAAAUAAAUAUAAUUGCAGUAACAAAUUUAUAUGAUAUUAAUUCUUUACCAAAGUACAUUCAGUUUAUUGGGAAGAUCAUGGUAAACAUCUUAAUUUUGUCAACUCUGCCUGAGGCAUUCAGCACAUGUAUUAAAUAUUUCUCAAACAACUUAGUGUCAUUACCCUAAUUUUCUUUUAGGCAAUGUUCAAACAACCAGCAACCACAAUUCACAUAAUUUGGCUUUAUUCAAAGUAUGAGGCACAAUUAUUGUUCAUUUUUAAAAGGGUUAAAAAGAUGUACGUUUUGGACUUUGUUUUUAAAACCAUAACUAAUUUGGUGUAUAUGAUUAUGUACUAUUUAGAGGCUGCUGGCACUAUGAUGAUUAAGUUAAUGUUUUCAGUACUGCUUAUAGACCUGAAAGCUGCCCUUCUCAGCUGGUUUGUGGGUACUCAAACAUACUAAUAAUGAUGAUGGCUAACUUAGGAAUGACCAUCUUCAAAGCUAGUGAUGACUUGAUGAGCUCAUAAGCAACACUGUUUCCAAUGCUGCAGCAACAUAGUCAAGAAAACACUUCUAGAAUGCUUAAUUUCCUGAAAGAUUUAAACCAAUAGAUUAAGACAAAACAUUUGUAGUCAUUUUUCAGAUUGAAAGAGAUAUCUUUUUGCAUCAUGUUUUAUUAGGUUCUUGUCUUUCAUUAUUUUGAAGAGCUGCCUAGCAAAGUGUCCAAAAAUAGAGCUGGCACUGUUUAUAAAAUGCCUUAAGGCAGAAGUUAAUCAGUCAUGUAGACACAGAUACAGAACUGAUUCAAAUGUCAAGUGGUAGUUGGACUUCAGGUGGUGACUUUCUAACUUUUACUGUGAUCCACAUUAAGAAAUACAGUUUCACAUUGUGACCUGGUAUACAUACACAGGAAAAAGUACUUGCUGCUUGUGAUAUACUCUGAUACCUUCUAUUGUUUUUUUUUCCUCUUGCUAGUCUUACACAUUACAUCGAUUUUACUAUCAUCCAAUGGUUUCAGAGAUAUUAGAUUCAAUGACUUAGGCCCCAAACCUUGAGAUUCUUUGUUCCUGAUUUUUCUGUCAGUGCCUUCCUAUUUCUGUCAGUGCCUCAGUAGUGUUUAUAAAUAAAUGCUUCUUUUUUUUUUUU